RNAcentral lists this non-coding RNA (25 nucleotides) under Cricetulus griseus (Chinese hamster). Lineage: Eukaryota; Metazoa; Chordata; Mammalia; Rodentia; Cricetidae. The record is from RNAcentral.
CAAAGGAGGAUUUAGUAGUAAAUUA